Molecule: long non-coding RNA, 205 nt
Filed under: Mytilus galloprovincialis (Mediterranean mussel)
Lineage: Eukaryota; Metazoa; Mollusca; Bivalvia; Mytilida; Mytilidae
Source: RNAcentral
UGCAUGUCCACUUUUUUUUUCUCUUCUAAUAAAGUGUAUGUGAUGACGAACGUGAAACGUCAAUGUUUAAUGAAAGUGGUCAAUGUUCUAUUAAAAGACAAUCCACUUACAUUCCUAAAAUCUACCGAUCUUGUCUGAUAUUAGAAAAGCUGUCUCAUAAUAAUGAUUGGAUGCAACUUCAAGAUGAAUAAUUCCUCCUUAACCC